This 89-nucleotide transfer RNA is filed under the name Paenibacillus sp. FSL R7-269. RNAcentral describes it as "tRNA-Ser". It matches the Rfam family "tRNA". Rfam says of the family: Transfer RNA (tRNA) molecules are approximately 80 nucleotides in length. Their secondary structure includes four short double-helical elements and three loops (D, anti-codon, and T loops). Lineage: Bacteria; Bacillati; Bacillota; Bacilli; Caryophanales; Paenibacillaceae. The record is from RNAcentral. RNAcentral also lists the same sequence under 1 other name.
GGAGAGGUACCGAAGCGGUCAUAACGGGGCGGUCUUGAAAACCGUUAGGGUGAAAGCCCACAUGGGUUCGAAUCCCAUCCUCUCCGCCA